This 253-nucleotide ribosomal RNA is filed under the name uncultured bacterium. RNAcentral describes it as "partial 16S ribosomal RNA". It matches the Rfam family "Bacterial small subunit ribosomal RNA", at positions 524 to 776 of the family's 1533-position model. The record is from RNAcentral.
UACGGGGGGGGCGAGCGUUAUUCGGAAUUAUUGGGCGUAAAGGGCGCGUAGGCGGCCGGAUAAGUCAAAGGUGAAAUCCCUCGGCUCAACUGAGGAACUGCCUUUGAUACUGUUUGGCUUGAGUCCGGGAGGGGGUAGCGGAAUUCCCAGUGUAGCGGUGAAAUGCGUAGAUAUUGGGAGGAACACCAGUGGCGAAGGCGGCUACCUGGACCGGAACUGACGCUGAUGCGCGAAAGCGUGGGGAGCAAACAGG